Arabidopsis thaliana (thale cress) is the source of this 275-nucleotide long non-coding RNA. RefSeq annotates it as other RNA. Lineage: Eukaryota; Viridiplantae; Streptophyta; Magnoliopsida; Brassicales; Brassicaceae. The record is from RefSeq. The transcript has a single exon.
UGCUCAACUAUCUAAGCACGAGCUUGAACAACUUCGAGUUAUCAAAAGUAACUUUUCAUGAGACGAUGGGGCUUUUGACUAUGUUCAUGUUGUUAGCUAAUUUGUGCUUACCUGAUAACUGGACCAUAUAUCACUCGUUCAUCGCUGUUUUGUCCGGCGAAAAGACCAUUGAUUUAAAAAAAAAGAACUGAAAAAGAGAUAGGUAUGAUUUUAGUUUCUUGGCUUUGGCUUCUCAUGAACAUGUUCAGAUUCUUCUGGGGAGUUUUAUGUCUACC